AGCGCCGGUAGGCUCUCUUGAGGGGCCUGGAUGGAAGUCGGCCCCAGCCCGUCAUGGCGCAGGCAAGUGUUUAUAGUGGCGCCAUCUUCUCUUGGCUCAUGCUGCCGACCGGAACUCGUUCUUGAUUCACUUGGACGGUUUCCUCUAGAGUCUGGGUUGAUGGGUGGUCUUCAGGACAGCAUGUGGGUAGUCUUAAGCCACUUGGCGGUGACCGAAAAAUCCGAGGUGGUAGUGUGGGGAUUCGAACCCGCGUCGUCCAUCACGAGGUGAAUGUAGGCCCAGCCCAGCAGUACCCAUACGUAUCUCACUCUUUAAUUCAUCACAUGCAGUAUUUCUUCUAUUUUUCUUAGUUAUCAUUACGAGGUUAGGCUCUGAAAUGUCUUUUCCCCAGAUCUCUUAUAAUUCGUGACUCUUUUUUGCUUCAGCGUUUUUCGUUUUUUUUUUUUUUUUUUCCCCUUCUUACUUAUCAUGUCGAGGUUAGGCUUUCAAUGGCUGUCCACCAGUUGUUUCCAUUCGUCACUCAUUUUUAAGUCCAUCAUCGUUCUUCAUAGCUUUUUAGGUGCUGCCUAAAGCCCCGGUAGGUUUUCUUGAGGGCCUCUUGAACGACCCCAGCCCGUUAGUGGCGCAGGCGAAUUUUAUUUAUAGUGGCUGCCGUGAUGUAUGAUUCCUGCAGCUUGGCCUAUGCUGCCCUCCGGUGUUCUACUUGAUCGAAGUCGCUGAAGUUAGGGUUGGUUGAAGAUCUUGGCAGCAUGUGGGUAAUAUUCCUCCACUGGGCGAUGGUUUGAAAAAUUAGCGUGUUUCGGUGGGUCUCGAACUUACUUUGGUCCACGGACUCACCACGCCGGCACGCUAAACAGGUCACCGCCUCCUCCAUAUUAAGAGUGCAGACUUUUUAUGUUCUACAAUUGUCUCUUCAUUAAUUCUCCGGAGAUAAUUUGAUUUAGGUGUGAAAGGGAAUGGCACUCAUACCUCACUCACUCAAGCUCAUCUUUUAUUAUCUUUUUAUUUCUUCAAUUUUAUUUAUUAUUUCACUUCAUUCUUAACAGCUCAUCAGAAGAGGUUAAACAAAUUCAAGUGACUGAUUUCAACAUUAUUUUUCUUUAUUGAAUAGAACAGUUAAAGUCUAGUAAUUAUGUAAAUUCUAAGACUAGGAAUGUUAAAGAAAGACUUACUGUGGAAAUCAUGAGAAGUGUAGCAAUAGUAGUAGUAGUAGUAUAGUAGUAGUAGUAGUAGUAGUAGUAUAAGCAGUAGUAGUUGUAGUUGUAAUAUUUUUUGUUGUAAGAAAUGAUGGAAGGAAAGAAGAGAAGUAAUGAUGGACAGAUAAAGGGUAGAAACAAAUGAACAAAGAAACAAAAGGAAAAAAAAAAUAA
Eriocheir sinensis (Chinese mitten crab) is the source of this 1370-nucleotide long non-coding RNA. RefSeq lists it as uncharacterized. The record is from RefSeq and is a predicted model, not a curated record. NCBI's taxonomy places the organism in Eukaryota, Metazoa, Arthropoda, Malacostraca, Decapoda, Varunidae. The transcript is spliced from 2 exons.